This 544-nucleotide ribosomal RNA is filed under the name [Candida] sp. GE13S02. RNAcentral describes it as "eukaryotic LSU rRNA". It matches the Rfam family "Eukaryotic large subunit ribosomal RNA", at positions 89 to 650 of the family's 3401-position model. Lineage: Eukaryota; Fungi; Ascomycota; Saccharomycetes; Saccharomycetales. The record is from RNAcentral.
GCGAGUGAAGCGGCAAAAGCUCAAAUUUGAAAUCUAGCACUUUCAGUGUUCGAGUUGUAAUUUGAAGAAGGUAACUUUCGAGUUGGCUCUUGUCUAUGUUCCUUGGAACAGGACGUCACAGAGGGUGAGAAUCCCGUGCGAUGAGAUGCCCAAUUCUUAGUAAAGUGCUUUCGAAGAGUCGAGUUGUUUGGGAAUGCAGCUCUAAGUGGGUGGUAAAUUCCAUCUAAAGCUAAAUAUUGGCGAGAGACCGAUAGCGAACAAGUACAGUGAUGGAAAGAUGAAAAGAACUUUGAAAAGAGAGUGAAAAAGUACGUGAAAUUGUUGAAAGGGAAGGGCUUGAGAUCAGACUUGGUAUUUUGUGUGCUCUUCCUUUUUGGUUGGGUUUCUGCAGCUUACUGGGCCAGCAUCGGUUUGAGUGGUAGGAUAAUGACAUUGGAAUGUAGCUUCGCUUCGGGGAAGUGUUAUAGACUUUGUUGAUGCUAUCUAUUUAGACCGAGGACUGCGUCUUUGACUAGGAUGCUGGCGUAAUGAUCUUAAGCCGCCC